RNA transcript from Rhinopithecus roxellana (golden snub-nosed monkey), 3255 nucleotides. It is a transcript of the gene named adhesion G protein-coupled receptor F4, with no coding region annotated. The record is from RefSeq and is a predicted model, not a curated record. NCBI's taxonomy places the organism in Eukaryota, Metazoa, Chordata, Mammalia, Primates, Cercopithecidae. The transcript is spliced from 11 exons.
AGACUUGCACAAGCCUUGAAACUGUGGGCAACUUUACAGUUCUCAGAUCGGCUUCUCUCAACAGGCAGUGAGUUCUCACUGGGCCCCUUGGACUUCCAUUUCAAAAAUGGAGAAGACAGAUCACAGCCACUGACCAGGGACUGUGGGAGGUGCCACGUGAUGGUGGGGCAGCAUGCUGGGGAGCUGAGCGCUGGCCUUCCUGCCGGGUGAUUCUCCACCUCAGGGCUGCUAGAUCUGCUUCCUGGAUGCCGUAAAGAUCCUCAUGUAUGAAAAUGAAGUCCCAGGCAACCAUGAUUUGCUGCUUAAUGUUGUUUCUGUCCACAGAAUGUUCCCACUAUAGAUCCAAGAUUCACCUAAAAGCUGGAGAUAAACUUCAAAGCCCUGAAGGGAAACCCAAGACUGGAAGGAUCCAAGAGAAAUGCUAUGGACCUUGCAUCUCUUCUUCCAACUGCAGCCAGCCCUGUGCUAAGGACUUUCGUGGAGAAAUAGGAUUUACAUGUAAUCAAAAAAAGUGGCAAAAAUCAACCGAAACAUGUACAAGUCUUUCUGUGGAAAAACUCUUUAAGGACUCAACUGGUGCAUCUCGCCUUUCUGUAGCAGCAGCAUCUAUACCUCUGCACAUUCUAGACUUUCGAGCUCCUGAGACCAUUGAGAGUGUGGCUCAAGGAAUCCGUAAGAACUGCCCCCUUGAUUAUGCCUGCAUCAUUGAUGUUGUGAAAUCAUCAGAAAUGACAUCUGGAAACAUUGCAUUUAUAGUGGAGUUAUUACAAAAUAUUUCUACAGACUUGUCUGAUGAUGUUACUCGAGAGAAAAUGAAGAGCUAUAGUGAAGUGGCCAACCACAUCCUGGACACGGCAGCCAUUUCAAAUUGGGCUUUCAUUCCCAACAAAAAUGCCAGCUCGGAUUUUUUGCAGUCAGUGAAUUUGUUUGCCAGGCACCUCCACAUCCACAAUAAAUCUGAGAACAUUGUGAAUGAACUCUUCAUUCAGACAAAAGGGUUUCACAUCAACCAUAAUACCUCAGAGAAGAGCCUCAGUUUCUCCAUGAGCACAAACAAUACCACAGAAGAUAUCUUAGGAAUGGUACAGAUUCCCAGGCAAGAGCUAAAGAAGCUGUGGCCAAAUGCAUCCCGAGCCAUUAGCAUAGCUUUCCCAACCUUGGGAGCUAUCCUGAGAGAAGCCCACUUGCAAAAUGUGAGUCUUCCCAGACCGGUAAAUGGUCUGGUCCUAUCAGUGAUUUUACCAGAAAGGUUGCAAGAAAUCUUACUCACCUUUGAAAAGAUCAAUAAAAGCCGCAAUGCCAGAGCCCAGUGUGUUGGCUGGCACUCCAAGAAAAGGAGAUGGGAUGAGAAAGCAUGCCAAAUGAUAUUGGAUAUCAAGAAUGAAGUGAAAUGCCGCUGUAACUACACCAGUACAGUGAUGUCUUUUUCCAUUCUAAUGUCCCCCAAAUCAAUGACUGACAAAGUUCUGGACUAUAUCACCUGCAUUGGGCUCAGCAUCUCAAUCCUAAGCUUGGUUCUUUGCCUGAUCAUUGAAGCCACGGUGUGGUCCCGGGUGGUUGUGACGGAGAUAUCAUACAUGCGUCACGUGUGCAUUGUGAAUAUAGCAGUGUCCCUUCUGACUGCCAAUGUGUGGUUUAUCAUAGGCUCUAACUUUAACAUUAAGGCCCAGGACUACAACGUGUGUGUUGCAGUGACAUUUUUCAGCCACUUUUUCUACCUCUCUCUGUUUUUCUGGAUGCUCUUCAAAGCACUGCUUAUCAUUUAUGGAAUAUUGGUCAUUUUCCGUAGGAUGAUGAAGUCCCGAAUGAUGGUCAUUGGCUUUGCCAUUGGCUAUGGGUGCCCAUUGAUCAUUGCUGUCACCACAGUUGCUAUCACAGAGCCAGGGAAUGGCUACAUGAGACUCGAGGCCUGUUGGCUUAACUGGGACAAUACCAAAGCCCUUUUAGCAUUUGCCAUCCCGGCGUUGGUCAUUGUGGCUGUGAAUCUCAUUGUGGUUUUGGUUGUUGCCGUCAACACUCAGAGGCCCUCUAUUGGCAGUUCCAAGUCUCAGGAUGUGGCCAUAAUUAUGAGGAUCAGCAAAAACGUUGCCAUCCUCACCCCACUGCUGGGACUAACCUGGGGUUUUGGAAUAGCCACUCUAAUAGAAGGCACUUCCUUGACAUUCCAUAUAAUUUUUGCCUUGCUCAAUGCUUUCCAGGGUUUUUUCAUCCUGCUGUUUGGAACCAUUAUGGAUCACAAGAUAAGAGAUGCUUUGAGGAUGAGGAUGUCUUCAUUGAAGGGGAAAUCAAGGGCAGCUGAGAAUGCAUCAUUAAGCCCAACCAAUGGAUCUAAAUUAAUGAAUCGUCAAGGAUGAAAUGUGAAACCAGGGGAGAGCACACAUUAGGCAGCCAGGAAGCAGGAGAAUAAGUCGCAAAAAUGGCAGCCAGAAGCCUGAGAGGCUGCCCCGUUUUUGAUGGACAUCCUGAGACCAAGUGGGGAGAUUGGGAGAAAGAGGACAUGGAAAGCAGGCUGGAGUGAGGAGGAAUGGUCAUGCUUCCUUGGAAUACUUUCUCUUCUUGUCAGGAGUGACUCCAAAGCUCUUGGUCUGCUGAAGAAAAACUGAGGAUAUCAUUUGCUGACUGAGCUUUAAGGAGGGUGAUUUAUGGACCAUUUGACCUACCCGCGCCCUGCAAGAGGCUGGCUUCUUGGUCAAUCUUGGCUAGAUUAAGAGUCAACCUGCAAGCCAUUUUAUGGUCUCUUUGGCCAGCUGGGGGCUGUGGGGCCCUGCUGGGCUUGGUUGUCUUUCACUCUUGAGGCCUGCUGUGUGGCUCCAUAGCUCAGUCCUCCAUCACUCUGCGUGGAUCUUGGGUACUGUAGACAGUGAGGGUUAGAUCCAAUUUUAGGAGUAGGGUUGGGGGUGUGAGUGGGAGCGUGGGGUGGCAGGAGGAACAAUGAAUCUGCUUUGGAGACAGUUAAGUCAUGGUACGUUUCCUAAAGAUAGGGAACAGAAGAAAAGUAAGAAAACUGUUUAAUAUGCUGAUUUUUUAAGUCUAUUUUAGACCUUGAGUAAACUAAUUUAGCUUCUAGGAUCUGAGUUUCCUUAUUUGUGAAACAGGAAAAAAAAGUUCUUGUAGGUAUUACUAUUUGUGUGUUUGAGUCUACCUGCAUGUAUUUGUGUUUGUGUGUGUGUGUGUCUUUUAAAAAUACUAUAUAUAAAGAAGAUUCUGUUUGUUAUUUUAGACAUAAAAAUGAAUAUAUGUACCUUUCACAACUUG